GAUAAACGCUGGCGGCGCACAUAAGACAUGCAAGUUGAACGGACUUAAUCGAAAUAUUUAUAUUUUGAAGCGGUUAGUGGCGGACUGGUGAGUAACGCGUAAGGAACCUGCCUAUUAGAGGGGAAUAACAGUGAGAAAUCAUUGCUAAUACCGCAUAUGCCAUAGAUAUCGCAUGAUAACAGUGGGAAAGGAGCAAUCCGCUAAUAGAUGGCCUUGCGUCUGAUUAGAUAGUUGGUGGGGUAACGGCCUACCAAGUCGACGAUCAGUAGCCGGACUGAGAGGUUGAACGGCCACAUUGGGACUGAGAUACGGCCCAGACUCCUACGGGAGGCAGCAGUCGGGAAUAUUGCGCAAUGGAGGAAACUCUGACGCAGUGACGCCGCGUAUAGGAAGAAGGUUUUCGGAUUGUAAACUAUUGUCGUUAGGGAAGAGAAAGGACAGUACCUAAGGAGGAAGCUCCGGCUAACUACGUG
RNAcentral lists this ribosomal RNA (473 nucleotides) under uncultured bacterium. RNAcentral describes it as "partial 16S ribosomal RNA". It matches the Rfam family "Bacterial small subunit ribosomal RNA", at positions 28 to 507 of the family's 1533-position model. The record is from RNAcentral.